UACGAAGGGGGCUAGCGUUGCUCGGAAUCACUGGGCGUAAAGCGCACGUAGGCGGCUUUCUAAGUCAGGGGUGAAAUCCUGGAGCUCAACUCCAGAACUGCCUUUGAUACUGGAGAGCUUGAGUCCGGAAGAGGUGAGUGGAACUCCGAGUGUAGAGGUGAAAUUCGCAGAUAUUCGGAAGAACACCAGUGGCGAAGGCGGCUCACUGGUCCGGUACUGACGCUGAGGUGCGAAAGCGUGGGGAGCAAACAGG
This 253-nucleotide ribosomal RNA is filed under the name uncultured bacterium. RNAcentral's name for it is "partial 16S ribosomal RNA". It matches the Rfam family "Bacterial small subunit ribosomal RNA", at positions 524 to 776 of the family's 1533-position model. The record is from RNAcentral.